Phasianus colchicus (ring-necked pheasant) is the source of this 227-nucleotide non-coding RNA. NCBI's taxonomy places the organism in Eukaryota, Metazoa, Chordata, Aves, Galliformes, Phasianidae. The record is from RefSeq and is a predicted model, not a curated record.
AAAAUCUCCUUCUGCAACAUGAGGAAUUCAUCCAACAUCAUCUCGCUCUCAGCCCCGCUUUCUGCUGCCGUCACCCCAAACAUCUCCACCUGCAUGUCCUGCAGCCGCACCGCGUGGUCCAUGAAGUAACCUGCAGGAGAAAAGAGGGGACGAGUGAGAGAUCUGGACACAUUUUGACCCAUUCUGCCUUAAUUGUGCCUCCUCUUGAUACACCCCACCCAAAUUUU